This 30-nucleotide non-coding RNA is filed under the name Mus musculus (house mouse). The record is from RNAcentral. Lineage: Eukaryota; Metazoa; Chordata; Mammalia; Rodentia; Muridae.
UAGCAAAGACAAACUAUGUUCAUUCCUGCU